This 245-nucleotide ribosomal RNA is filed under the name uncultured bacterium. Its description in RNAcentral is "partial 16S ribosomal RNA". It matches the Rfam family "Bacterial small subunit ribosomal RNA", at positions 109 to 354 of the family's 1533-position model. The record is from RNAcentral.
AGUAACGCGUGGAUAACCUGCCUCAUACAGGGGGAUAACAGUUAGAAAUGACUGCUAAUACCGCAUAAGCACCCGGGAGCGCAUGCUCUUGAGUGAAAAGCUCCGGCGGUAUGAGAUGGAUCCGCGUCUGAUUAGCUGGUUGGCGGGGUAACGGCCCACCAAGGCGACGAUCAGUAGCCGACCUGAGAGGGUGGCCGGCCACAUUGGGACUGAGACACGGCCCAAACUCCUACGGAAGGCAGCAG